GCCUCAUUAGCUCAGUGGUUAGAGCACUGGUCUUGUAAACCAGAGGUCUGGUGUUCAAUUCUCUAAUGGGGCU
RNAcentral lists this transfer RNA (73 nucleotides) under Paramuricea clavata. It matches the Rfam family "tRNA". From Rfam's summary of the family: Transfer RNA (tRNA) molecules are approximately 80 nucleotides in length. Their secondary structure includes four short double-helical elements and three loops (D, anti-codon, and T loops). Lineage: Eukaryota; Metazoa; Cnidaria; Anthozoa; Malacalcyonacea; Plexauridae. The record is from Rfam by way of RNAcentral.